This 585-nucleotide ribosomal RNA is filed under the name uncultured bacterium. RNAcentral's name for it is "bacterial SSU rRNA". It matches the Rfam family "Bacterial small subunit ribosomal RNA", at positions 338 to 916 of the family's 1533-position model. The record is from RNAcentral.
CCUACGGGAGGCAGCAGUAGGGAAUAUUGCACAAUGGGCGAAAGCCUGAUGCAGCAAUGCCGCGUGUGUGAAGAAGGCCUUAGGGUUGUAAAGCACUUUCAAUAGUGAAGAAAAGCACAAGGAUAAUACCCUUGUGUCAUGACGUUAACUAUACAAGAAGCACCGGCUAACUCCGUGCCAGCAGCCGCGGUAAUACGGAGGGUGCAAGCGUUAAUCGGAAUUACUGGGCGUAAAGCGCGCGUAGGCGGUUUUGUAAGUCGGAUGUGAAAGCCCAGGGCUUAACCCUGGAAUUGCAUCCGAUACUGCAUGACUAGAGUAUGGUAGAGGGAAGUGGAAUUUCAAGUGUAGCGGUGAAAUGCGUAGAUAUUUGAAGGAACACCAGUGGCGAAGGCGACUUCCUGGGCCAAUACUGACGCUGAGGUGCGAAAGCGUGGGGAGCGAACAGGAUUAGAUACCCUGGUAGUCCACGCCGUAAACGAUGAGAACUAGAUGUUGGGAGGGUUACCUUUCAGUGUCGCAGCUAACGCGUUAAGUUCUCCGCCUGGGGAGUACGUCGGCAACGAUAAAACUCAAAGGAAUUGACGG